GCCAGGGCCGAGACACAUCCGCACCAGCCCGUCUGCGCCGCGAGCCUACGGCCUGAUUUCUCCCCCUCCAUUGUUGUAGCUAACACAAAAGGCUACAACUCCAGUGUGGUCAAGGGGCCUGCGCUGAAUUACGCGCCAGGCCAUUCUUUGGGCCAGAGCCUUUGUGGGUUGGGAUGCAUCCCCUCUCCGUGCCAGAACUCCGGGCUGUCACACGCAGGCUGAAGCGCUUCGCAAGCGUGGGCGAGUUGUCUCCCUCCCUCCCUUCGUUACAUCCACCCACCUACCGCCUUUGUUCCUUUCAGCUGGCGGCCAGGCCCUCGUUUGCCUUUUGGCUGUGUUAAAUGGACAGUGUAACAAUGACUUGCUGAGGGAGACGUGCAUGAAGUUUCUGUGCCUGUGACUAUCUGAAGGCCCCCAAGGCAUGGAGGUGCAAUGGAAAGGACCAGAAGACAGGCUCUGCCUCUAGCUUGGAUGUAACACCUUAAAAAGGUCAUUUAGCUCCUCUGUACUUGGCUGUCCUUGCCUGUUAAAUGCUGAGAUUGAAC
RNAcentral lists this long non-coding RNA (545 nucleotides) under Equus caballus (horse). RNAcentral describes it as "lncRNA (ENSECAG00000054735.1)". The record is from RNAcentral. Lineage: Eukaryota; Metazoa; Chordata; Mammalia; Perissodactyla; Equidae.